This 619-nucleotide long non-coding RNA is filed under the name Numida meleagris (helmeted guineafowl). RNAcentral's name for it is "lncRNA (ENSNMEG00000010852.1)". The record is from RNAcentral. Lineage: Eukaryota; Metazoa; Chordata; Aves; Galliformes; Numididae.
GCAUUCUUUUGUUGCCUUUGUCCCGAAGAUAUCCUUAUCUGAGCUGGUACAUUUCAUUCUAUGCCCUAACUGGAGCAUUCCAGAUAUGGGCAAGAACACACCUACUGUUGUAUCACAAGCAGUGACAUGUUUUUAGUGUAUGAUUUGCUGGCAGGUUAUUUAAGCCUUCAGCCCACAAAAGACUUUCAGAAUUGUGUACCUACGUACCUUAUAGCAGAGUUCAGUGCAGGUAUAGUCUAUUGCUUCCCAGUUCCUGGAGGCACCCCAAAGGCAGUAGAAGAUAAUCAUCAAGGAAAACCUUAAGGAACAUCUGGGAAAUGGACAGAUGGGAAAAAAGGAUACCGGCAUAUCUGUUCCACAGAUACCUGGUUCCAAGAAGUCAAAAUUCCAAGCUCUUCCAUGCAGACGUCUGUGUCAUCAUCUCUGCCUUUGAUAAUAAUUUUGUUCUUGGGAGAAGCCACUUCAGAGAAGAACUUCUGGGGCUCCACACUGGUGCAUGUUGGCCCCCUGCAUAGGCUGGUGCCUCAUCCCUUCUGAGUAAGAGGAGGACGGAAGAUCUUGGAGAAGGAAGAAAAGAAUGGGAGGAAGCAAGCAGCAUUGCUGGAGUGGCAUGCACAGG